AGUGAACGCUGGCGGUAGGCCUAACACAUGCAAGUCGAACGGCAGCACAGUAAGAGCUUGCUCUUACGGGUGGCGAGUGGCGGACGGGUGAGGAAUACAUCGGAAUCUACUUUUUCGUGGGGGAUAACGUAGGGAAACUUACGCUAAUACCGCAUACGACCUACGGGUGAAAGCAGGGGAUCUUCGGACCUUGCGCGAUUGAAUGAGCCGAUGUCGGAUUAGCUAGUUGGCGGGGUAAAGGCCCACCAAGGCGACGAUCCGUAGCUGGUCUGAGAGGAUGAUCAGCCACACUGGAACUGAGACACGGUCCAGACUCCUACGGGAGGCAGCAGUGGGGAAUAUUGGACAAUGGGCGCAAGCCUGAUCCAGCCAUACCGCGUGGGUGAAGAAGGCCUUCGGGUUGUAAAGCCCUUUUGUCGGGAAAGAAAAGCAGCAGGCUAAUACCCCGCUGUUCUGACGGUACCCAAAGAAUAAGCACCGGCUAACUUCGUG
Molecule: ribosomal RNA, 492 nt
Filed under: uncultured bacterium
Lineage: Bacteria
Description: partial 16S ribosomal RNA
Rfam family: Bacterial small subunit ribosomal RNA
Source: RNAcentral